Pelobates cultripes (western spadefoot toad) is the source of this 393-nucleotide non-coding RNA. NCBI's taxonomy places the organism in Eukaryota, Metazoa, Chordata, Amphibia, Anura, Pelobatidae. The record is from the annotation of a GenBank genome assembly.
GAGUGUCCUGGUAUCCCUCACGUCGACCACAGGUUUGGUCAGAUGGGCACAUUGGAAGGCGAGACAGGCUCAGAUGAACUUCCUCACACAGAUCAACAAGCCAGCAAUGAACUGGGAUCAAUGGACCAUAAUUCCCCACGACCUGAAGUUUCAACUAAGGUGGUGGAUAGAAGGAUCCAACUUGACCAAGGGUUUUCCCCAGGAAGAUCCACAAUGGGAAGUCAUUACUACAGAUGCAAUUACAAGAGGAUGGGGAGCUCACUACAAGAACCCUGUUGCGCAAGGAGUAUGGAACAACCAGACCCAUCUUCUUCACUCCAACAUCCUGGAGAUGGGGCAGUCUUCAAGGCACUGAUGUCUUUUGCCACUUACCUGAAGGGGACGAGGCUGUUG